UCCUGGUUUCCCAGGCAGUCCCACCAGAGUGCUUCGCCGAAGCGACUAGCAACUGAUAGCAAGGGUUGCGCUCGUUAAAGGACUUAACCCAACAUCUCACGACACGAGCUGACGACAGCCAUGCAGCACCUGUGAAUUUGUCUGAACCGAAAUCCAGAAGACUGUGUUUCCACAGCUAUCAAAAACAUGUCAAGCCUAGGUAAGGUUCCUCGCGUAUCGUCGAAUUAAACCACAUGUUCCACCGCUUGUGCGGGCCCCCGUCAAUUUCUUUGAGUUUUAAUCUUGCGAUCGUACUCCCCAGGCGGAUCACUUAACGCGUUAGCUACGACACUAAUCCUGUAAAAACAAGACUAACGUCUAGUGAUCAUCGUUUACAGCGUGGACUAC
Molecule: unclassified non-coding RNA, 387 nt
Filed under: uncultured bacterium
Lineage: Bacteria
Description: contains 16S-23S intergenic spacer region
Source: RNAcentral